Molecule: ribosomal RNA, 253 nt
Filed under: uncultured bacterium
Lineage: Bacteria
Description: partial 16S ribosomal RNA
Rfam family: Bacterial small subunit ribosomal RNA
Source: RNAcentral
UACGAAGGGGGCUAGCGUUGCUCGGAAUCACUGGGCGUAAAGCGCACGUAGGCGGAUUUCUAAGUCAGGGGUGAAAUCCUGGAGCUCAACUCCAGAACUGCCUUUGAUACUGGAGAUCUCGAGUCCGGAAGAGGUGAGUGGAAUUCCUGGUGUAGCGGUGAAAUGCGCAGAUAUCAGGAAGAACACCAAUGGCGAAAGCAGCUUUCUGGGGCGGUACUGACGCUGAGACGCGAAAGCGUGGGGAGCGAACAGG